GUGUGAAAUGAUGGUAUCAUCUUUCGGGACUGACCUGUCAUGGAGACAACCUUUUCAACUGAUCACAC
Small nucleolar RNA from Triplophysa rosa, 68 nucleotides. RefSeq annotates it as small nucleolar RNA SNORD2. The record is from RefSeq and is a predicted model, not a curated record. The transcript has a single exon. NCBI's taxonomy places the organism in Eukaryota, Metazoa, Chordata, Actinopteri, Cypriniformes, Nemacheilidae.